CAUACGUUUNGGCGCCAGAGAUUCAACCGUUGGUGAUUUUGGUUUACUGUGGUACAAGUUCAUGGAGUUUAAACGGGAAUUUACUUACGAAUAUAUCUUUUAAACACCCUUUUUGUUUCUCAGAGCUAUUUUUCUGUUAAUUUUAGAUUUUCAUUUUUGAAAAUCCGCUGUUUAUUCAUUCCUUUCAGGCAACAGCAACGUCAGAAGUGACUUCAUCUGGUGACAGUCCAAAAGUACUUCGAAUUCGUCAAAUAUUCUUCAAAUAUUUCCAGAAGUAGUACAACCUCGACUGGAGAAACUAUAAUUCUUGAUAGUGAUAACAUUUGGAAUGGUACAAACCUUCUAGCAGAUGUAUCAGCCAAAGCAAAAAAACCUAAACUUUACACAACUAGUUUGUUGUCAGUACUGUUUACUGAUGAAGAAAUGUGUCUUAGAUGUGUGGAACCUAAGGAAGGGGCCACAAGAAAAACAGCUCUUGACCAGAGCAAGAUCAACUUAUUAAAGAGGUGUAUCAAAGCAAAGUACGGAGAAAAGGUCCUGGACAAAGGAUGGUCAGACAUUUGUAUCGGCCUUAAUCAGAAAAAAAUUAGAAAAAAUUCAGAAAAAUUAAUGUGUGCGUUCAUAAUGUCAAAGAAAAUAUUGAGUAAAUUUGUCAUGUUUCUGUUUCAA
RNAcentral lists this long non-coding RNA (669 nucleotides) under Actinia tenebrosa (Australian red waratah sea anemone). RNAcentral describes it as "uncharacterized LOC116298446". The record is from RNAcentral. Lineage: Eukaryota; Metazoa; Cnidaria; Anthozoa; Actiniaria; Actiniidae.